GACAGAGGUGGCAAGCGUUACCCGGAUUUAUUGGGUUUAAAGGGUGCGUAGGCGGCACUUUAAGUCAGGGGUGAAAGACGGCAGCUCAACUGUCGCAGUGCCCUUGAUACUGAAGUGCUUGAAUGCGGUUGAAGACGGCGGAAUGAGACAAGUAGCGGUGAAAUGCAUAGAUAUGUCUCAGAACACCGAUUGCGAAGGCAGCUGUCUAAGCCGUUAUUGACGCUGAUGCACGAAAGCGUGGGGAUCGAACAGG
Molecule: ribosomal RNA, 253 nt
Filed under: uncultured microorganism
Description: partial 16S ribosomal RNA
Rfam family: Bacterial small subunit ribosomal RNA
Source: RNAcentral